AUGGCCUCGGCUGCUUACACUGAUGAUUCUGGUUCCGAGGUUAUUGAUCCUCCAAAGUCUGAGGUACUGGAUGUUGCUGAACUUGUCGGCGAUCAUACACAGCUUACACAAAAAUCAAAUGUGGUGGCUUCUAGCAGCGUUCGCGAACUUUUGGAAUGCCCCGUCUGCUUGAGUGCCAUGUACCCUCCUAUACAUCAGUGCUCUAAUGGCCAUACAUUGUGCUCUGGAUGCAAGCCAAGGGUUCACAACCGCUGCCCAACUUGUAGGCAUGAACUAGGUAACAUAAGAUGCCUUGCUCUUGAGAAGGUGGCUGCAUCUCUUGAGCUUCCAUGCAAGUACCAGAACUUUGGUUGCUUAGGCAUUUACCCAUACUACUGCAAGCUGAAGCAUGAGUCACAGUGCCAUUAUAGGCCUUAUAGUUGUCCAUACGCUGGAUCUGAAUGUACAGUUGGUGGUGACAUUCCAUACUUGGUAAAUCAUUUGAAAGAUGAUCACAAAGUUGAUAUGCACAGUGGAAGCACUUUCAACCAUCGCUAUGUCAAGUCAAAUCCUCAUGAAGUUGAGAAUGCGACCUGGAUGCUUACGGUUUUCAGCUGCUUUGGCCAGUACUUCUGCCUGCAUUUUGAGGCAUUUCAGUUGGGCAUGGCACCUGUGUACAUCGCUUUCCUGAGGUUCAUGGGAGAUGAUGCGGAAGCAAAGAAGUACAGCUACAGCCUGGAGGUAGGAGGUGGUGGGCGCAAGAUGAUCUUUCAAGGGGUUCCCCGGAGCAUUCGAGACGGCCAUCGGAAGGUCAGAGAUAGCUAUGAUGGGCUAAUAAUCCAACGGAACAUGGCCUUGUUCUUCUCUGGUGGUGAGAGGAAGGAGCUUAAAUUGAGGGUCACCGGGAGGAUUUGGAAAGAAGAGUGA
Molecule: ribosomal RNA, 906 nt
Filed under: Triticum aestivum (bread wheat)
Lineage: Eukaryota; Viridiplantae; Streptophyta; Magnoliopsida; Poales; Poaceae
Description: partial small subunit ribosomal RNA
Source: RNAcentral